RNAcentral lists this ribosomal RNA (208 nucleotides) under uncultured bacterium. Its description in RNAcentral is "partial 16S ribosomal RNA". It matches the Rfam family "Bacterial small subunit ribosomal RNA", at positions 568 to 774 of the family's 1533-position model. The record is from RNAcentral.
UCCGCAGGGGGGUUUGCCAAGUCUGAUGUGAAAUCCCGCGGCUCAACCGCGGAACUGCAUUGGAAACUGGUGAGCUUGAGUGCACGAGGGGUGAGCGGAAUUCCUGGUGUAGCGGUGGAAUGCGUAGAUAUCAGGAAGAACACCGAUGGCGAAGGCGGCUCACUGGCGUGCUACUGACCCUCAGGGACGAAAGCGUGGGGAGCAAACA